GUGCCAGCAUCCGCGGUAAUACGAAGGGGGCAAGCGUUGUUCGGAAUUACUGGGCGUAAAGGGCGCGUAGGCGGUACUCUAAGUCGGACGUGAAAACUCUGGGCUCAACCCAGAGCCUGCAUCCGAAACUGGAGUGCUAGAGUUCUGGAGGGGGUAGCGGAAUUCCUGGUGUAGCGGUGAAAUGCGUAGAUAUCUGGAGGAACACCGGUGGCGAAGGCGGCAUCCUGGACCAACACUGACGCUGAGGAGCGAAAGCCAGGGGAGCAAACGGGAUUAGAAAACCCUGGUAGUCC
This 293-nucleotide ribosomal RNA is filed under the name uncultured bacterium. Its description in RNAcentral is "partial 16S ribosomal RNA". It matches the Rfam family "Bacterial small subunit ribosomal RNA", at positions 505 to 796 of the family's 1533-position model. The record is from RNAcentral.